Molecule: small RNA, 996 nt
Filed under: Rattus norvegicus (Norway rat)
Lineage: Eukaryota; Metazoa; Chordata; Mammalia; Rodentia; Muridae
Description: uncharacterized LOC102555773
Source: RNAcentral
UCUAGGCCAUCCAAGGCUACAUAUCAGCACUGUCAAGACAGCCAGCCAGCCAGCCAGCCAGCCAGCCAGCCAGCCAGCCAAGAAAUUCCAAACAAAACAGCCCCAAGCAAAAACCAAAACAAAACUAUAAGCAUUUGGAAUUUGGUAUUUAAGAUGCUCCAGCCAUGCUCCUGAUGGGAGAAGGAUAAUUACGGUCUUGAAAGCUUCAGUUUUUCCAAGAUCCAAACUACUUAGAGAACAGUUUCUGUUUUCAACCUCCAUCCAUUCUACUCUUGUUGAAGCCUCUGACGGGGACAUUUGGCACCUACAUUGCUGAACUGGAGGAAAGUGACCUGUCACAACAGCAUCCCUGUACAGACACCAGGUGCCCAGUUAAGUUGCCUAGAGACACCAGCAAACCCAAAGCUUCCUCUGGAGAGUAAACAGGGGCAGAAUAGGCUAUGGAGUCCAAAAGGCGGCUUCGAUUGCGCCAGCUCCCUGUUUGCGUAAGUAUCCAUCCAAGCAUGGACUGGAAGCCCUGGAGACCCGCUGGUGGAUCACACCACAGAAACAACCUUCAAAUUCUAACUGAUGCCCGAUGGACAUCAGCUAUCAACAAAUGUCAAAUGAAUCCAGACGACUGCCCUCGAUCUUUAGGUUCGACAGAACACUGACUGGCAGGGUCUGCAGGAUGCACAGUCUACACACAGGCCUCGUUAACAUCAACCACGGAAGAGGGAAGAUGGGGCAACAACUUCUAACUAAAGCUGUGCCUCUAUCUGUAGUUUCACUCAGGAUUAAAUAGAAUGAAGUUUGUCAGCUGAGUUAAAAUGACUGAACAAGUAUCUUAACAUUUUCAUGGAAAAAAAUCCCAAAAGGACACAAUCUACAAGAAAGAAAAACUAUCAGAAAUAGGUGGGUUGGAGAGAUGGUUAAGAAUUUUGACUGCUCUAUCAGAGGAACCCAGUUUGAUUCCCAACACCCACAGUCAUAAAAUAAAAAUAAAAUAAAUUCCCA